This 700-nucleotide ribosomal RNA is filed under the name uncultured bacterium. RNAcentral describes it as "bacterial SSU rRNA". It matches the Rfam family "Bacterial small subunit ribosomal RNA", at positions 57 to 753 of the family's 1533-position model. The record is from RNAcentral.
GCAGUCGAGCGGUAGAGAGAAGCUUGCUUCUCUUGAGAGCGGCGGACGGGUCAGUAAUGCCUAGGAAUCUGCCUGGUAGUGGGGGAUAACGUUCGGAAACGGACGCUAAUACCGCAUACGUCCUACGGGAGAAAGCAGGGGACCUUCGGGCCUUGCGCUAUCAGAUGAGCCUAGGUCGGAUUAGCUAGUUGGUGGGGUAAUGGCUCACCAAGGCGACGAUCCGUAACUGGUCUGAGAGGAUGAUCAGUCACACUGGAACUGAGACACGGUCCAGACUCCUACGGGAGGCAGCAGUGGGGAAUAUUGGACAAUGGGCGAAAGCCUGAUCCAGCCAUGCCGCGUGUGUGAAGAAGGUCUUCGGAUUGUAAAGCACUUUAAGUUGGGAGGAAGGGCAGUAAAUUAAUACUUUGCUGUUUUGACGUUACCGACAGAAUAAGCACCGGCUAACUCUGUGCCAGCAGCCGCGGUAAUACAGAGGGUGCAAGCGUUAAUCGGAAUUACUGGGCGUAAAGCGCGCGUAGGUGGUUAGUUAAGUUGGAUGUGAAAUCCCCGGGCUCAACCUGGGAACUGCAUUCAAAACUGACUGACUAGAGUAUGGUAGAGGGUGGUGGAAUUUCCUGUGUAGCGGUGAAAUGCGUAGAUAUAGGAAGGAACACCAGUGGCGAAGGCGACCACCUGGACUGAUACUGACACUGAGGUG